Molecule: long non-coding RNA, 7356 nt
Filed under: Vitis vinifera (wine grape)
Lineage: Eukaryota; Viridiplantae; Streptophyta; Magnoliopsida; Vitales; Vitaceae
Description: long non-coding RNA (VVIN_LNC001878)
Source: RNAcentral
GCAUAUCUUCCUCGGUCUGAGACAGAUCUAGGUUUUUCCUUCCGCACAGGAUCUCUAAUACCACAACCCCAAAGCUGUAAACAUCAACUUUUUCUGUGAUAAUGGAGCUCAGCCAUUCAGGAGCCAAGUAACCAGGUGUCCCCUCAUUCUUGUUACAAUUCGGCUCUGGUCCUUGUCGAUGAGCUUUGACAAUCCAAAAUCAGAAACUUUUGCAUUGAAAUCUUCAUCCAAGAGGAUGUUGUGGGGUUUGAUAUUCAAGUGAAAUAUUUUCUUUCUGCAGUCCUCGUGGAGAUAGGACAGUCCCUUGGCUAUUUCAAGGAUGAUCUUCCUUCUGGAUUGCCAACCAAGAGCAAGGUCUCGAUUUCCAUGGAAGAUCCACUUAUCCAAGGAUCCAUUGCACAUGUACUCGUAGACUAAAAGCCUAUGAGAUUUUUCUGAGCAAAAUCCAAUCAAUCUUACCAAAUUAACAUGGUGAAUGCUACCUGUUGUCUCAGCUUCGGCUAAAAAUGACUUCUUUACUUGACCCAACCCUUCAAGUUGCUUAACUGCAACUUUGAUUCCAUUGCUCAAAGUCCCUUGAAAGACUCAUCCAAAUCCUCCUUCCCCUAGCUUGCAGGUAAAAUUUUCUGUGAUGGCUUUCAAGUCUUCAUAGGAGAAUCUAGUGGGCAUUCCGGGUAUCCAGUCUAGAUGAUCCUCCUCAACUUUUUCGGAAUCUCUUCUCUUCGAGAAAAGAAAAAGGAAAGCUCCGAUCAAGAUAAAAACAAGAAAGAGGGCUCUAAGACUUGAUUCAACUAUGAUUCGAGCAUUCCCUGCUUUCUUCUCAACUACAUUUCCACCUUCCCCUACCUUCUUUUCAGUCGGGGAAUUCUCUGCUUUAAGAAACAAAGAUGUACUAAAAUUAUAAGUUGUAUCCAAUGUUUCCAUGUUCUGGAGUGUAAAGACUUCAGAUAGCAAGCAAAAAUCUCCACUUGAAUGAUUUGAAGGAUGUCUAAACAGAGCAGCUUUGCACGAUCAGUUCUUCAAACAGGUCUGCUUGCAAAUCUCCACAUCUGUAGACUGAAUGUCCACUUGAAAAGUGAAGUAGCUCGUGUUUUGAAGCUCAAGAAGACUAAUAUUGAGAUAAUUGGCAGGAAAUGGGUGUAAUUGCGGAGCAGCCAAGGUUGGUUUGCCGGCUGUGUUUGUAGACCAAACAAAAGUGCCAUCAGCAUCUGCUAAGAUCAAAUCUCCUUCUUCAGUGAGUCGUACAGUAGCAUUAAAUCCGACUGGACGGUUUUGAUUCGCAGACCACACAGGCUGCGGAGAAUAUACGUCUUGGAAGAUAAGAAUGGCAAAGGGGCAUGAAUUGCUCGCAUACUGACAGAAGAAGCCACAUAGGAAACCUGGGCCACUGGUUUCUCUGAGGCUGAGAAGGAUGGGCUUCACAUUCACCUAAUCCAAGUUGUUCGUACAUUCUCCUCCAGGGAUGUUGGUCCAUGAAGUGAAGAGGUUUGCACUAUUUGGAUACGGAUCUUGGAGUCCGGCAAAGGUUGAGGGGAAAGAAGAGAUUAUGAGAAAAGCAAAAAGAAGUGCAGAAAUGAAACGAGACUCCAUCCAAUAUGGACUCAUGGCUUCUCCCAUGUGAAGGUUUCCAACUUCUACUGACACAAAAAUGAAAGGGAGGAAGAAAAUACAGAGAAUGAAUUCAAGUCUAGCUAAAGAAUUGUCACAGCCCACAGGAAGAUCAAUUUGCCUUUUCAAGUUUUGCAUGGAGUCUUCUGCAUUAUUGUCCGAAGUCCCGACAACAAUCUAAACCCAAGUCCUUUCCCCGUAAAAGUUCGCCAUGUUUACAAGUUGUCUCAAAUAAGAAUAUUACUAUUCAUGUUUUAUUAAAAAUAAAAUUAAUUUUAUAAUUAUAAAUAAAUUUAUUAUUUAUAAGACUUGAAUUAAAUUUAAUUAAUAUUAUAUAAAUUAAAUUUACGUUAUUAAUUAAAAUCAAAAUAAAAAAAUUAUUUUUAAAAAUAAUUUAGUCAAAUAAGUCUUUCCGCUCUCCAUCUCUUCUCUCAUUUCCCCACUCACGGAAUCAUGGCCAGUCUUUCCGCUCUCUCCCAUCCCUCUCACAUUCUCUCUUUCUCUCUCUCCCCUUUUUCCCAUUUUCUUUUUCUUUCUUUCCCUUUUCUUCCCCUACUUCCCUUUCUUCUCUCCUUUUCCCUCGUAACCAUGCACACACCUCUCACCCAUCCUCCCUAUGCCACUGCCGACGACAUCGGCUUCCAGUUACCGGUACCACCUCCUCCAACCGGGCACCCCCUUUCUCCCUUCAUCUUACUUUCUCUCUCUCAUUCUCUCUCUUUCAUUUCUCUCUUCUUCAACACCCAUUUUCCUUUGGGUUAAUUGGUUAAAGGGUCAAAAUAACCUCCAUAUUUGCAAACAUAAUUCAUCAGUCAAAAAACAAAAAAGUUGACUCGAUUAAGACAAAAAUGUCAUUCUUUUAUCUCUCCAACACAUACAACUUCUCCUCUUCUCCUUCAUUUACAAAACGACUCAUCAUAUUUUCCAAAAAAAAUCUCUCAUCAUCUUCUUCUACUUCAUUAUCUUCCUUUGGUGCAUAAAACGGAAAUAUAAUCUCCUUUUCCACUUCAUUUACAGAACGAGUCCUCAUCUUUCAUCGUCUCCUUCUAUUUUAUUAUCUUCCUUUGAUGCACAAAACGAAAAUCUCAUAUUUUCUUCAAAAACCCUAAAAAUCCUCUGUUUCAUUCCGAAUCCUUGGAAAAAUUGUUAUUCUAUUUUUUUCAAGUUAUCUCAUAUUAUAUCUUCAAGCACGAAGGAAACAAUGAGUUCAUUGAAGAGUGAUAGGAGAAAAAGAUUUUAAAAAGUGGCGAAAAAGCUAAAAUUCCAAUUGCAAACAGAAGAAAAAGGUGAAGCAGAAGAAAGUGAAGCAAAGAAAAUCGAAGCUAUUGAGCAAAAAUCCUAACUACUGUGAAACAGUGACUGUAAACUUAACUGUGGUUAAGUUUUUUGUUAAUGGAACUCAACUACUAUUAAGUUCAGGUGAAAAUUCGGACUGUGAACUUAAUUGUGGUUAAGUUCUUUAUUAAUGAAACUCAACUACUGUUAAGUUCAAGUGAAAUAUCUUACUGUGAACUUAACUAUGGUUAAGUUCUUUGUUAAUGCAAUUCAACUACUAUUAAGUUUAGAUGAAAAUUCUGAUAGUAAACUUAAAUGUGGUUAAGUUCUUUGUUAAUAUAAUUCAACUACUGUUAAGUUUAGGUGGAAAUUCUUUGAACGAACUUUUCACUUGUUCAAAACUAACAAUGGAGUCUCUAUUUUUUUACCUACACUGUUGAAGUAAGAUUUUGAAUUUUCAAGAAACAGAAAGAAAUAAAAUGAUAAUAUAAAAAAGAAAUUGUUGGUUGCUUACAUUUUUUUUUCAUAUUUUUCGUGAUCAAGAAUGAAGAAUAGUUGAAACAAUAGUAAGAAGUUAAACUUGAUCUCUACAAGAAAAGAAAGAGAAGAGCAACCAAUGAUUGAAUAAAAAAAUUAAAACCUAAUCUACUAUAAAACAAAGGGAAAGAGGAAAGGAAAAUGCGAAGUUGUAUAUGUUGUAGAGAAAAAAUAAGAAGGGCAUUUUUGUCUCAAUCGGGUCAAUAUUUUUGCUUUUUGAUCAGUGGGUUAUAUUUCCUUUCUUCCCAUUCUUCUCUCAUCCCUUACUCACACCAGCAUUGCUAGUCACGACAUCUCCAGCAUGACUGCCACUCCACCCUUGUUCCAUUCUUCAAGGCAAACACCCACCCUUUGUUUAUGAUUUGUUUGGUAUAAUUGGAUUUUGUUUGUAUGCUUGGUUAUUUUAUUAGAACUUCGGCGUAUUGCAUUUUGGUUAUUUGAUUGUGGACUUAGGGCCGCAUGUUUCGUUAAUUUUGGGCUUUCAGUUAUUUAAUUCAGGCUUUUUAAUUAUUCUUAUUUUGAAAUCAAAUCACACAAAAAUUGUAAAAUAAGAUUUGUAAAAUCGCUUUUUCAAAUAAAUAAAAAUAAAAAUACUUUUCUAAAUAAAAUUAUAAAAUCUUUUUAAAUAAAAUGGUUAUUUUUUUUCAAAAAAAAAGUAAAAUUAUAUAACUCCUUUUUUUUUUUUUUAAUAAAAAUAGGAAACUUUUUUAAAAUAAAGUUACAAAAUCAUCUCUUUCUUAAUAAAAGUAAACAAAAUUUUCUUAAAUAAAAUAAAAUUGAAUUUUUUUUUUUAACAAAAUAAGGACAAAAUCAUUUGGUAAUAUAUACAUAAUUUUAACAAACUUAAAUAAAGAUCACUUUUCUUAAUAUAAUUGGAUUUAUAAUUUUUUUUUUUAAAGCCUUGUUUUUUAAAAUGAAAAAUUUGAUUAAGAAUAGAAGUUGUAAUAAAAACCAUUCUUAAAUAAUAAAAUUUAGUUUGGAAAUAAUUUUCCUGAAUAGAAAUUAUAAAAAGAAAAAAAAAUCUUUUUCUAAAUAAAAUUGGUUAGGGAAUAAUUUUUCAUAAAUGAAAUUAAAUAAAAAUCACUUUUCUAAAGUAAAGAUUGACUUGGAACUCAUUUUGUAAAUAGAAGUUAAAAAAAAAAAUCAUUUUGCUAAAAAUCUCAUUCUUCAGAUAAAGAUUUCAAUUGAAGUCUCUCUUGAAAAUAUUUUUCCCUUUUAAAAUUUUUUUCUAAAUAAUAAUCAAAUGGAUGGUUUUUUCAAAAUAGUAUAAAACUUGAUUUCAAUGAAAAUAAUAAAAAACAAUUCCUUUAUAAAUAAAAUCAAAUUGAAAUAUUCUUUUGUAAAUAAAUUUAUAAAAUCAUUCUUUAAAUAAUUUGUAAACAUCAUUUUUAGUAAAUUAAAUUUAAAUUGAAAUAUUUUCUUGGAAAUAAAAUUCUAAAAAUUCAUUCUAGCAGAAGUAAAUAAAAUAAAUAAAAAACAUCUUGUAAAUAAAAUAAAAUAAAAUAAAAUUCAAAAUUUUCUCUUUAAAUGAAAUUGUACUUAAUAAAUUCUUUUAAUAAAUACAAGAAAAAUUCUUUGAAAAUGAAUUUAAAUGUAAAUAAAAUUAAAGCUUUUGAUAAAUAAAUGAAAGCUUUCUGAAUAAUCAAAUUGGUUUUUAAUGUAAAUAAAUUCUUUCAAGAUUUCUUAAAAUUGUAUUAUGAUAUUUGAAAUAAUAAAAUCUUUCUAAUAAAUUAUUUUAUGCAUUUCUCAUGUAUCAAAUUUAUAUAUUUGUGUAAUUUGUUUUUAUCAUUGUUUUGAUGUACACUUAUAUUAUUCUUUUGUGGUAUCAUGAUUUGUUGACUAAUUGUCAUAGUUUCUUUGCUCGUUUAGUAAAGACAGUAGGUAUAUGGAUUUAGAGGACUGCUUCAACUUAUUGUUAUAUCUUCCCGAUAGAUAACUUGACUCUCAAAUUUUUAUUUUUAUUUUUUUUAAAAUUCUUCUUACAGAAUUUUUCUUUUUCUAAAUAAAGAGUCACACGUGAUUCUUUUUCUUAUUUUGUUUUCUCUUUUAAAAAUAAACUAAAAUAAGUAAUUACUCCAACUUUUCAAAAAUCAAAUUUUCACAUAAAAAAAUAAGUCUCGCCAAUGAGUGGAACACACCUGGUUCUGCACUUGGUUUUCUGUUCUUUAACUUUAAAUAAUUUGUUAAAAAACAAACAUCAUAAAACAUGAUGAAAUGGAUCCUUAACUAUUUAUAAAUACUCAAUUUUAUUGCAGGUGUUAUUAUAGGAGACAACUUCACUUAUUUUUUAUUUUUAUUUUUUAAGUUUACAAAUCUAAAAUGAUUUUUAUUUACUAAAAAUAAACUUUUUGUUUCAUUAAAAAGUAAUACUUUAAGACACAACUUCCUUGUAUAUGAAAGUUGUUUGUUUAAGAGGCAACUUCCUUUAUUUGUUUUAAAGCAUAUAAUUUUGAAAUGAUUUCUUCUCUUUUUUUUUCUUUUCUUUUCACAAAGAUGGUCUUUAUAAGGUUUAUAUUUAAGGGUUUUGCAACAAAAUCCUAAACUUUAAAGAGGAAAGUAAACUCUAUGAAGUUGAUCAAAACUUAAAUUAGGGAAUAUGCUAGAAAAGGGUACAGGCAAAACCCAUUUAGCCAGAAUGGAAAUUUUAGUGGAUAGUAUAGGAAAAGUUAUGGAGAGUUGCGUGUCUUUUUUGUCUUUUUUCUAAGAGAGCGAUAAAUAAAAAAGUCAAAUCAUGUGUCUUUUUUCUAAGAGAGCGAUAAAUAAAAAAGUCAAAUCACACCAGUAAUAGGUAAAUGUCUCUUUUUCUCAUCAUUGAAAUUAUUUGUAAGAUAUUAACUACAAUUGAAAAGUUCUUAUCAAUAAAAUUCUCGCGGCCUUCAUCCAUCAAAUUCACAAAUAGGAUUCCAUUCAAAGAGAGAGAGGACGAAAAGUAAGAGUUGAUUAAUGAUCCUCAUAAUUUUCUUCCCCAUCGUAUUUGACCAGAGAAGCCUACUAGUGUGCUCUCACUUUCCUGGACAAGGAAUUUAGGACUUGGAAGUCAUCCUAUAGGUGGUUAUUUACAAAAUAAGGUUAUUGAUAUUCUAAAAAUCCUACCUAUGAAGUGGUUUUUAAAAUUUAUUUUUUAUAAUAUAAUAUAUCACUAAAAUUAUUAUUAAAAGCACUUUUAUGAACAACUAAUAAAAGAGAAAAAGAAAGAGUGAAAUGCUAUGACUUGUUCUUUCAGCUAAAAUUAUUGUGGAAGGAAAAACAAACGAGAGCCCAACUUUUCACUAAUGGAUGUCUAAAACCCAAAACUAUACCAUAAAAACUCCACAUGUAUUUUAAUUACCUCUCUUCACCUUGGUCCUGAUAAAGCAGAUGGUAUUGGUUCUGCAGUAGCAGCAUCAGCAGCCUUGUUCCCCAUGCCUGCAAUUUUUGGUGGUCGUGGGGAAUAUGAGAAACUGUACUCCAAGUUAUCCUCAAUGUCCACUAAACCUUCCAAAACCUUCACCACCACUGACAUGGAGGGCCUCCUUGCAAAAUCACUUUGGAGGCACCAUCCACCCACCUUCAUCAUCUCCACAACAUCUGCUCCAUGUAACUGCAUAUCCUCACUGCACUUAUCGAUUAUAUCUGCAAGUCGGUUCUCUUCUGCCUUUCUCUUGAAAAUACCUAGUAAGUGCAUAUCUUCCUCGGUCUGAGACCGAUCUAGGUUUUUCCUCCCGCACAGGAUCUCUAGUACCACAACCCCAAAGCUGUAAACAUCAACUUUUUCUGUGAUAAUGGAGGUCAGCCAUUCAGGAGCCAAGUAACCAGGUGUUCCCCUCAUUCUUGUUACAACUUGGCUCUGGUCUUUGUCGAUGAGCUUUGACAAUCCAAAAUCAGAAACUUUUGCAUUAAAAUCUUCAUCUAAGAGGAUGUUUUGGGGUUUGAUAUCCAAGUGAAAUAUUUUCUGCC